RNA transcript from Parus major (Great Tit), 3216 nucleotides. It is a transcript of the gene named lysine methyltransferase 5A, with no coding region annotated. The record is from RefSeq and is a predicted model, not a curated record. Lineage: Eukaryota; Metazoa; Chordata; Aves; Passeriformes; Paridae. The transcript is spliced from 9 exons.
GGGCUGGGCCGCCGCGGCUCGCCCUGCCGCAUCCAGCCCUUUAAACAUGGCGCAGGCCGCGGCGGCCGGGCGAUGACCGCGGGCGGCAGCGCCGGACAUGGCUCAGGCGCCGAUCUUCCCCCGUUGCUCCUAGGGAAGAACAUGCCCAAGACCAGGGCGGGCGGCGUGGAGAAGGCAAGUCCCGAGAGCGCCGAGAGGAAGGGCCCUGGCCGCCCCCGGGCCGGCGGGGAGAAUGUGUUUAUUGGUCAAUCCAAAAUCUACAGCUACCUGAAUCCCAACAAAGCUCCUGGUGCUCGCCCCCCACUUCAAGAAGAAAACUCUGUCAUGUAUCACGAGGUGAAAUGUCAGGGCAAAACACUAAAGGAAACCUACAGGAAAGGAGCUGGAAAAAAGAAUGGUGGCAAAAUAGUUGAAGGUGCUGUGAAACCAGAAGACCAGAAGGAUAAGGAAGGUGGGUGCAAUCCUUCAGUGCCCUCUUUUGAUCAAAAUCAAGAAGCUGUGGAAACCCAGAAGACUCCCCUGCCUGCAGACUGUGCUGAGGAGGCCAAUGCAAAGCCAGCUCAGAAGAAGAUGGUUAAAGCAAAACGAGGACCAAGGAAAAAAACACAAGGGAGAGCACCAAACCGAAAAGUGACAGAUUAUUACCCAGUUAGAAGAAGUUCCAGGAAGAGCAAAUCUGAAUUGGAGACUGAGGAAAGGAGGAAAAUAGAUGAGCUGAUUACAAGUGGGAAAGAAGAAGGAAUGAAGAUUGAUUACAUCGAUGGCAAAGGGAGAGGAGUAAUUGCUACUAAACAUUUUAAUCGAGGAGAAUUUGUGGUUGAAUAUCACGGGGAUCUCAUCGAGAUCACUGAUGCCAAGAAACGAGAGGCUGUGUAUGCUCAAGACCCAUCCACAGGCUGCUACAUGUACUAUUUCCAGUACCUCAGCAAAACCUACUGUGUCGAUGCUACGAAAGAAACGAAUCGUCUGGGAAGGCUCAUUAAUCACAGCAAGUGUGGCAAUUGUCAGACCAAGCUCCACGACAUCGAUGGUGUGCCUCAUCUCAUCCUCAUAGCUUCCAGGGACAUUAAGGCAGGAAGGCUUUAUCUCCUAACAAGGUGUCAGGGAAAGAUACCCUUGGGUUGGGAGCUAAACCGCUUUUUUUAAAGGAGAUUGGAAAAUGCAUCCCUGGAUAAACCAUGGAAGAGGAUGGAAUUCAGGUCACAUCAGGAGUGAUGCUGCUGCUUCCAAUCAUUGUCUUUCCCAACGCCUCUGAGGCUCAUCAGUGCCAUUCUCACCAGCAGCAGUUAAGUCCUUGAGGAUGCUCAUUUUCCAUGUUUAAAAGAAAACCUAAAAUAAAAGGGAAAAAAUCAAUAGCAGAAAGGAAACAAUAAUGUACAACUGGGAAACAAGGAACAGGCAGGGGGCUGGCCCUGUCAGUGUGCUAUUUUGGGAGACUUUAGGGACAGACCCUGAGCUGUGGGUUUUGUGUACAAUGUAAACAAAGCCUGGGGCCAGCCAGGGUGCUCCCACAGCACAGCCCUGAGGGGCUGGCAGGGGAGGCAAGUAUUGAAUCAUUUUGCUCAGGAAUGCUUGUUUUUCCUAGGAAAAAAGUGACUCCCUGCUUGCCUGGGUGGAGGUUGCUUUCCUGUGCAGUGCUUUUUCCCCAGGAAGAGAUUGCUUUAUCAGGUUUUUAACUUUACAUGGAGACCAGAAAACAAUAUCCAGCCAACUGGGCUAAAGUUCAGCAUCCAUCCCUGGCUUCUCUGCACGCAGUGGGUCAUAUUCUUACAAAUUCUGCCCCAAAAUCUGCAGACAAACUUACAGACGUUUGAUGAUUGUCUUCUCUUCACUGUCCUUGCUAGUGCCAGCACUUCUGCCACUGACUUCUUUUUCCAGUUCUUCAGUUUGGUCCUUUUUCUGUGAGAUGAUCCCACUGGCAAAGGAAAUGGUUUUGUUUAUUUUUUUUGUGGGUUUGUGCAGAAUGUGACAGUUAGACCACUCACAGGGCAGCUGGGACAUGGGUGAAUGAAUGUUCACAGGACAGGGAUGGCAGCCCAGCCUCUCUUCCUUGUGAACUGAAAAUAAUGAAUUAUUAUCCCUAAAUACAGCAGUGUAAUGGUGCCAGGGUUAUGCUUUAAUGAGACCACUAAAAAAGUAACAAACUGACUUCUCCACAGAGAAAAAAUGGCAAAUCAUAAUGAGGGUGAAAGGGAAGUGUAAUCACACUUGGAUUUGUGCAAAAAUCCAAGGAUAAAAGGAGGGUGUGGACACAAAUGGUGAACUUCUGCAGGGGUGGAUGUGUGGUACCUCCAGCGCAGCCACCCAGGCUCACACCAGGCCUGGGAACAGAUGGGAGAUUCCCAACUCCCCUGCAAGGCAGGUGCCUGUUCCUCUUUCCACCCUACAGAGGAGAGAAGAAAGGCUUUGCCUCAGCUGUAGAUUUUGCCAUCCUACUUCAGUGUUUCUACACUCCAGAAGUUAUAACCGCCUACUCCAGGCAGCAGUUUCAGUUUGACCAAAGGGUGUUUUCCCUGCCUGGAAAGGGGUUAGAUUUUCCCAGCCUGCACACUCAGUGUUUUCACAGCGUGUCCUGAGCUGACCUCAGUCCUUCGGAGAGCUCAGUGGAUCAAAGCCUGUGACUGCAGUAGCUGCAGGCAAAGAGUAGCCAAGCAACACUCAACUGGAUUCAGAAAUAAAAACACAGAGCACUUAAAAACUGGUGUGACACCAUCACGGGGUAAUUCUGAGGCAGACUCUCCUCUUGGACAAAUGACACAAAGAGCUGUUGGGUGACACUGCAGAGUUUCAACACCCACAUGGUAAUUUCUACCCAGAAACCAUGAUGAAAAAUGCAGCCCCCAAACACCACCAGUCACUUGGAGCCAGUCUCUGAGAUGUUUGUUACCUUGUGUUAUACAGUGCUUAUUUCCAAUGUGUACAAGGCAUUUUAGAACAUAUAUUUAUCUUCUUCUGCAUAAUUACUCUUUACUACAAUUACAAUUAGGAUUUUAUGUGACUGUUUAGAGGGAAAAUGGGUUUUGGCUUAUGCUGUAACACUGUAUGAGGAGAUAACCUCACAAAUUACUGGACCUGGAAAGCAGCCCUGCCCUGCUCUUGUUGCAUAGCACUGUGACUCAAAUCAUUAAAAAUCUGAAACUAUUCCUACUGUUACAUUUUUAACUUGGCCUGUACUAAACUGUGUAACAGCUGGAAAUAAAGCAAGAGGCCAUUCCA